UACCGGGAUUCGAUUAAGCCAUGCGAGUCGAGAGGGUUCGGCCCUCGGCUGACGGCUCAGUAACACGUGGAUAAUCUACCCUAAGGUGGAGGAUAACCUCGGGAAACUGAGAAUAAUACUCCAUAAGUCUAGGAUACUGGAAUGUACUUAGGCUGAAAACUUCGGUGCCCUAGGAUGAGUCUGCGGACUAUCAGGUUGUAGUCAGGGUAAAGACCUGACUAGCCUACAACGGAUACGGGUUGUGAGAGCAAUAACCCGGAGAUGAUAUCUGAGACACGAUAUCAGGCCCUACGGGGCGCAGCAGGCGCGAAAACUUCACACUGCGCGAAAGCGCGAUGAGGGAAUCCCAAGUGCUUGCACGUAAGUGUAAGCUGUCUCUAUGUCUAAAACGCAUAGAGAGUAAGAGCUGGGUAAGACGGGUGCCAGCCGCCGCGGUAAUACCUGCAGCUCAAGUGGUGGCCGUUAUUAUUGGGCCUAAAACGUCCGUAGCCGGUUUAUUAAAUGCCUGGGUAAAUCGGGCCGCUUAACGGUUCGAAUUCCGGGUAGACUGAUAAACUUGGGACCGGGAGAAGCUAGA
RNAcentral lists this ribosomal RNA (577 nucleotides) under uncultured euryarchaeote. RNAcentral describes it as "bacterial SSU rRNA". It matches the Rfam family "Archaeal small subunit ribosomal RNA", at positions 31 to 613 of the family's 1478-position model. The record is from RNAcentral. Lineage: Archaea; Methanobacteriati; Methanobacteriota.